This is a long non-coding RNA of Corythoichthys intestinalis (scribbled pipefish), 395 nucleotides long. RefSeq lists it as uncharacterized. The record is from RefSeq and is a predicted model, not a curated record. Lineage: Eukaryota; Metazoa; Chordata; Actinopteri; Syngnathiformes; Syngnathidae. The transcript has 3 exons.
UUCACUUUUUCCUGUGAUGCGAUAAUUUCACUACAGACCCUAGUCUCACUCACCACCCAGCAGACCAGCGAGCUACCUGAAGGUGCUAUUUUUAGCCUCUGCAACUGAGUGACAUUACGGUGACAAGUCAACUUCAUGAAAAGACAAAAACCCUCCAAAGAAAAAGAAAGAAGACAGCAAAGACAUGAAGAAAAACAGAUACGCUCAUCAAAGAUAGUGGCCGGAUCCAAUAGACAGAUGCUCUUCUGAAAUAUUUUCCCUCUACCUCUGUACAUCCCGGGCCAUCUUUUACAGCAAACUUAUCCACAUCAGCACCAAGUCCAAGCCCACCAAGUCCAGGAAAGAAGUGCACCUUCCAAAACAACUGUCACAUGAAAGUGCAAUAGAUCCUUUUG